RNAcentral lists this ribosomal RNA (364 nucleotides) under Dendrobaena byblica. Its description in RNAcentral is "partial 12S ribosomal RNA". It matches the Rfam family "Bacterial small subunit ribosomal RNA", at positions 874 to 1415 of the family's 1533-position model. Lineage: Eukaryota; Metazoa; Annelida; Clitellata; Crassiclitellata; Lumbricidae. The record is from RNAcentral.
UAGUCGAAAAUACGAACUGUAGUUUAAAACUUAAAGAUUUUGGCGGUGUCUUAUCAAACCAGGGGAACCUGUCUCAUAACUCGAUAAUCCACGAAUUCUAAACCCUUUUUAGAUCAUUCAGUUUGUAUACUGCCGUCGUAAGUACACCUCUAAAAGUCAAAAGUGUACAAAUAUGACAACUCAUUUACGUCAGGUCAAAGUGCAGCUAAUAAAAGGGGGAUGAUGGGUUACAACCUUAAAAAAGACACGAAUUAAAGCACCAAAAGCUUUAUAAAGGUGGACUUGGCCGUAAUAAGUGUAUAAAACUUAUAUGAAAGUGAAUCUAAGACAUGCACACAUCGCCCGUCACUCUCACCUAAAGGCG